AGAGUUUGAUCCUGGCUCAGGGAGAACCCGGGCGGGCGUCUUAACCCCAACAAAUUGAACGGUGGCACUAGAGCUUGCUCUGGGUGAUCAGUGGCGAACGGUGGAGUAACACGGGACUAACCCUGCCCCUUGACUUCUGGGAUAAGUCCGGGAAACCGGGGCUAAUACCGGAUACGAGACGCGACCCGCAUGUUCAGGCGUCUGGAAAGUUUUUCGGUCAAGGAUGGACUCGCGGCCUAUCAGCUUGUUGGUGAGGUAAUGGCUCACCAAGGCGUCGACGGGUAGCCGGCCUGAGAGGGCGACCGGCCACACUGGGACUGAGACACGGCCCAGACUCCUACGGGAGGCAGCAGUGGGGAAUAUUGCACAAUGGGCGAAAGCCUGAUGCAGCGACGCCGCGUGAGGGAUGAAGGCCUUCGGGUUGUAAACCUCUUUCAGCAGGGAAGAAGCGAAA
Molecule: ribosomal RNA, 454 nt
Filed under: Sanguibacter suarezii
Lineage: Bacteria; Bacillati; Actinomycetota; Actinomycetes; Micrococcales; Sanguibacteraceae
Description: bacterial SSU rRNA
Rfam family: Bacterial small subunit ribosomal RNA
Source: RNAcentral